This is a long non-coding RNA of Raphanus sativus (radish), 752 nucleotides long. RefSeq lists it as uncharacterized. The record is from RefSeq and is a predicted model, not a curated record. Lineage: Eukaryota; Viridiplantae; Streptophyta; Magnoliopsida; Brassicales; Brassicaceae. The transcript is spliced from 2 exons.
UCUAUUUUAAUCCAAGGGUCAAAACUAUUCUUUUAUCUAUCUUCAACCUUCUUUUUCAUUGGUUGAUUUGCUUUCUCAAAGAUCACAAUUUGUAACCAUUGAUGAAAUAUAAUCCAAAGGCCACAAAUAAAUCUCUCUCUUUCUCAUUAAUAUUUUCAUUUAACGUCGUCUUCUUUUUCUAUUUUAUUUUUUCAGUCUCUCUUCAUCGCUUUCUUUCUUCUUCUCCUGCAACUAAAGCGUGAACAUGAAUCCAUGAAAGAGAAGCAGCUGGUUGUCGACCACCAUCGAAGAAUCUGGGCUCUGUUCACGGCGACCUGCAUCAUGGGACUCCUCUCACUGUAACAAGGCUCCUCGCGCAGAGCAUAUCCCAGAUCCGUGAAGGUACACAUCGAAUCCCAGAUCCGGCAAUCACACCUCCUCCCACCGCAGUCACCUCUCCUCUCUUGCGAGAAAGGAAUCCAACACGCCAGGGACGUCUUGGGAGGGAGCAUGUCUUCUCUUCACCGACGCCUGAAUCCCAGGGACGAAGAAGAAGAAGAACCAUGGCUGGAUGGUCAUAAGAUGAAGAAGACAAGAAGACGGCGGCUGGGAAUAGGUUUAGAUAGUAAUUAGGGUUAAUCUUUGUUUAGGUUUUUGGUUUAUUUGGUUUAAUACUUUUAAUUUGUAAAUCAUAUUUUUUUUUGUAAACCAGUUUAAUUAUCAAUCAUUUUAUUUAAUAAAAAAUUAAAUAUAUAAACGAGUUUAAUUUUUAA